RNAcentral lists this ribosomal RNA (253 nucleotides) under uncultured bacterium. RNAcentral's name for it is "partial 16S ribosomal RNA". It matches the Rfam family "Bacterial small subunit ribosomal RNA", at positions 524 to 776 of the family's 1533-position model. The record is from RNAcentral.
UACGUAGGGGGCAAGCGUUGUCCGGAUUUACUGGGCGUAAAGAGCGCGCAGGCGGUCGUUCAAGUCGAGUGUGAAAGCCCCCGGCUCAACUGGGGAGGGUCACUCGAUACUGAUCGACUCGAAGGCAGGAGAGGGAAGCGGAAUUCCCGGUGUAGUGGUGAAAUGCGUAGAUAUCGGGAGGAACACCAGUGGCGAAGGCGGCUUUCUGGCCUGCUCUUGACGCUGAGGCGCGAAAGCUAGGGUAGCAAACGGG